UCCACAAACCCUGGGGCAGCCGGUCCCGGUGCUGGAGGAGAGGCCUUGAUCCACAAACCCUGGGGCAGCCGGUCCCGGUGCUGGAGGAGAGGCUUUGAUCCACAAACCCUGGGACAGUGAUCCCGGUGCUGGAGGAGAGGCCUUGAUCCACAAACCCUGUUGCAGCUGGUCCCCGUGCCCCUAUCACCAAGGAAACACCAACAUGGAAUGGCAGAAAUGAGCAAAGAUCCCGGGCUGGUGGAUGAAACUCCGGAUCUGUGGCUGGAACCGUGGGACAUCCUUUAAUCGUUUUUUUUUUUGACAGAAAAGGGGGAGGUAUCAUGUUGCACUAGUUUAUUUAGUUGUUGUUUUGCACUGGGUGAUUGGGAAUUUGCACAGAAUAGUUUUAUAUUGCACUGGAUAGCUUAUGUUAUAUCAAGCGGUUUGUUAUCCCUUGACAACUUUAUUGUAGAUCAGGUGUUGGCAUGCCUCACCCCCUAAGCCACAAGCUUUUCCAUUCCCCACUGCCCCAGACUGCUGUUGGAUGCUACAAAGUACCGAUAAUUGAUUACAGUCAGUGUGGAUAUCAACACUACAGGCAGCUUGAGGGUCAAAGUCACCUUCUGACAUCGAUCUCUCCAAAUAAUGGGCAGUACUUUUCUGGACAAAAUGAGCUUGAUGAGUAUGAUGUGAUGUCAGAGACUGAAAUGGUUCAUGCUUUAAAAAUUGUUGUGAAGGAGUUUUGCCCAUUGUAGGAAGAUCUGUAUAAAGAAGCUACAACCACAGAAGCCCACCCCUCUUUGAAAAUUCCUGACUGGAACCUUGGACUGUGAGUUGAGCCACACAGAUAAAUAAGGGGACACCACCGUUCAGUCACUGAGGCUGAGGGAGAAGAAGGCAUCUGCAAGAAAGCCAAAACCAGUUCCACUGAGAACCAUCCCUGGCUGUUUUUGGGGUGGGGGAGACCACAGCCCACGGAGGCCAGGUUUGCACAGACUCCCCACAACCAAGGGCUGAGAAGGAGGUUUCAGAUGUGUGGUGUAACCUCUGAUGGGGUGAACACCCAUCCUCCCUUACACAAAUGAGCCCAGCUGUGAAACCCCCAACCCCAGAGGCCACAUCCAUGGGAGAUUCAUAUGGGAAGCAGCUGAGGGAAUCAUAAUCCAUCAAAAAUCACCAAAAUGCUCCCCAGACUUAUUUCCGAGCCCUUUCACCACAGCAUUGCAUGUGAUACAAAGAGAUG
Long non-coding RNA from Passer domesticus (house sparrow), 1222 nucleotides. RefSeq lists it as uncharacterized. NCBI's taxonomy places the organism in Eukaryota, Metazoa, Chordata, Aves, Passeriformes, Passeridae. The record is from RefSeq and is a predicted model, not a curated record. The transcript is spliced from 3 exons.